RNAcentral lists this long non-coding RNA (7995 nucleotides) under Ananas comosus (pineapple). Its description in RNAcentral is "long non-coding RNA (ACOM_LNC015495)". Lineage: Eukaryota; Viridiplantae; Streptophyta; Magnoliopsida; Poales; Bromeliaceae. The record is from RNAcentral.
GUUGCUGUGCUCUUAGGAGCACGGAGGCCUCCGUGCUUCUGAGCCGUUUUCGAUGAUGGAAUUUUCGAAUCGACGAUCGGCUCCGUUAGACUUGAUCUAGCGCAUUUGAAGUUUCUAGAAAAUAUUUUUGCGAUUUUUCGAUAUCAUUUACCUAUGUGAUCGAAAGAAUCAACAUCUAUAAUUUUUAAUGGUUGAUAUCUUGCCGUUUUCAGUUUAACGGUGUAGAAGUAUUCAAAUCAGAUGAAAUUUUGAUAGAAAAUUCUUUAUACUAUGUUCAACAAGAUUAUAUUUCUGAUCGAAAAUUUUAAGUGCUAUAUCACCACUUUUUAUAUGAUUUUUAUUUUUCAGUCGUUAAAAAUUAUUGAUUUUGAAUCCUUUCGAUUGCUAGUAAAUGAUACGAAAAAAUCGCAAAAAUUAUUUUCUAGAAACUUUAAAUACGCUAGAUCAAUUAACGAGCGAUCGUCGAUUCGAAAACUCCAUCAUCGAAAACGGCUCAAGAGCACGGAGGCCUCCGUGUCCUGAGAGCACAGCAGCCUGCUCCAUAUAUAUAUAUACAUAUAUAUAUAUAUAUAUGUAUAUAUGUACAUAUAUCUAUAUAUGUACAUAUAUAACAUAAUAAUGUAUAUAUGUAUGUAUGUAAUGUACAUAUAUAUAUAUAUAUAUAUAUAUAUAUAUAUAAUAUUAUAUAAUAGUACAUAUAUAUAUAUAUAGUAGUAUGUACAUAUAUAUAUAUAUAUACAUACAUACAUAUAUAUAGAUAUAUAUUAUCAUACAUAUAUAUACGUACAUAUAUAUUAUAUAUAUACAUAUAUAUGUAUAUACUGUAAUAUAUACAUUAUAUAUAUAAUAGGAGUUCUGGCUAUUUGUGCUUGUAAAAGUAACAGAGCACAUUGGUGCUUGUAAAUUUUUUAUCGUUAGAUCUAAUACCUUUGAUCAUUUUUACCCGUUAGAUUAUACUAUUCAACCAACCACCCACUCAACCCUAGGGGCCCACAUCAACCUAACCGCACAUCCUUUAAUUAAGGCCGAAAACUACAAAUAAAUGGUGUUGCAGAGCGAAGGAACCGUACUCUAUUAGACAUGGUUAGGUCGAUGAUGGCGCAAGCGCAACUUCCUAUAAAUUUUUGGGGAGAUGCGCUUUUGACUGCAGCCUACAUCCUUAAUCGAGUCCCUAGCAAAUCAGUGCCUACUACCCCAUAUGAGUUAUGGAGCGGUAGAAAGCCAAGUUUACACUACUUACGCCCUUGGGGAUCAGCUGGAUAUGUUCACAGCCCCUCACGUAAAUUCGAGAAACUCGGCCCUAAAGCGAGCAAGCAUGUGUUCAUCAGAUACCCUGAAAAUUCGAAGGGUUAUGUGAUGUAUGGUGAACACCCAGAUGGUGGUAUGACCGAGAUUGAGUCUCGUGAUGUGGAAUUCCUAGAAAGGGAUUUUCCAAGCAUUGGUGAAAUGCGAAGUGACGUCGGAUUGUAUGAGUUACAGGACGACGCUACCCUAUCUGCGGUUGAGGGUGAUCAAUCACUUCCCGAAGUCGCUGAAGGAAGUGGUAGUGAUCCUCCGGCUAGUGGGAGUGCUUCGUUAAAUGAGAGCAUACCCUUGGAAGUCGGCAAUUCGGACCCUCCAUUGCGUAGAAGUGAACGUGGACAUAUUCCCCGUCGACAUUUUGAGAUCGAAGGGGAUAUUUUCAUGUGUACUCCGCUCGAUGACGAUGAACCUUCUUCUUAUAAAGAAGCCCUGCAGAUGUCAGCUUGCAGUGAGUGGAUGACUGCUAUGAAAGAUGAGAUGGACUCCAUGAGCAAGAACCAAGUAUGGGAAUUGGUUGACCUUCCGCCUGGGCGCAAGUCUAUUGGAAAUAAAUGGGUUUUAAAAAUUAAGCGCAAGGCGGAUGGAUCAAUCGAUAAAUACAAGGCUCGGCUCGUGGCUAAGGGCUACACUCAGAGGCAAGGGGUAGAUUACAACGAGACGUUUGCUCCCGUUGUGAGAUUUACCUCCAUUCGUUUGAUUCUAGCCUUAGUGGCACACCUAGAUUUGGAAUUGUUCCAAAUGGAUGUCAAAACAGCUUUUCUCAACGGAGAAUUAGCAGAGGAGAUCUAUAUGGAUCAACCUGAGGGUUUUGUACUCAAAGGUCAAGAAGACAAAGUUUGUCGUCUUAAAAGAUCCAUUUAUGGUCUCAAGCAGUCGUCGAGACAGUGGUAUUUCAGGUUUCAUGAAGCCAUCACCUCUAUCGGUAUGUCCAUGAUAGAGGAGGACCACUGUGUAUACAUCAAGAAAACAGAGAAUGGGAUUUUAUUUCUCUCUCUAUACGUCGAUGACAUAUUAUUGGCUGGAAAUGACAUGGAGUUAAUCAAUACCACUAAGGAGUGGUUGUCUCUCAACUUUGAAAUGAAAGACAUGGGUGAGGCGAGCUAUGUGCUCGGAGUAAAGGUCAUCCGUGAUCGCUCUAGAAGGCUUCUUGGUUUGUCUCAAGAAUCUUAUAUUAAAAAGGUUCUAGAGCGUUUUAGGAUGCAUCAUUGUAAACCCGUUGAUACUCCAGUGGAGAAGAAUCAAACUCUGAGUCUUGAUCAGUGCCCUAAAACGGAUAAAGAGAAGGAACAAAUGAGUAGAGUUCCUUAUGCGAGUGCAAUUGGCAGUUUGAUGUACGCUAUGAUGUGUACUCGACCUGACAUUUGCUUCGCUGUUAGCUUGGUAAGUCGUUACCAGAGCAACCCAGGACCUAUUCAUUGGCAAGCGGUUAAGAGAAUCCUUCGAUAUUUAAAAGGAACCAGUGAUCUCGUUCUCUGUUUUCAAGGAGGGGACUUGAGAUUGAAAGGAUAUAGUGAUGCUGAUUGGGGCGGUGAUAGAGAUGAGCGCAGGUCCACCUCAGGCUAUGUGUUUAUGCUUGGAGGUGGGGCAAUUUCCUGGUGCAGUAAGAAGCAGAGCUGCAUUGCCUUAUCAACCAUGGAAGCGGAAUACGUUGCUUGUUCAGCGGCCGUACAGGAGGCAGUUUGGCUGAGGAGAUUUCUCCAGCACCUCGACAUCGUGACUCGAGCAAAUGAACCUGUUGAGAUGUUCUCUGACAGCAUGGCUGCCCUGGCGUAUGUGAAGGAUCCCAAGUAUCAUGGCAGGACCAAGCAUAUUGAUAUCCGAUUUCACUACAUUCGAGAUAUGAUUAAGCUAGGCGAGGUCGUUCUUAAACAUAUUUCCACCACUAGGAUGGUGGCUGAUCCGUUGACCAAGCCGAUAGCUAGGGAUGUGUUCCAGACCCACGUUGGGAGUUUGGGUCUUCGUAGGUUUUGAUUUAUGGACAUUAUUUUGUAUUUUACGCUUUAUUAAUGAAAAUGUGUUUUUUCUUUUAAUGUGAUUGCGUAAUUGAUACUAGUAGGCACAUAUUCGUUAAGUCACCGGGCUCAGAUCAGCCCACUCACACGGGUGAUCGCCCUGGCACCUAGGUGGUGAGCAGGAUGAGACUAAAUAAUCAUAUUGAACUUGAGUAGUUGUAAUAUGAUUGCUUUGUUCAUAUACGUUAUGAAUAAAGUGUUAACGUAAUUUAAAAGUCGCCUUAAUUAGUUUAAGAUGAGACUCUCAAGAGUCAGAUAUGAAUUUUUGGUGAAAUUUCAUAUCGAGCCUGUAUAGUAGCCGAACCUAAGUGCUCAGGUUAGAGAGAUGACUUGAGUUGUGGUGGUUAGAUACCUUAGUGGUACCUAGACCAAGGUUCGUAUGGCGUUCUUUCAGAGCGUGACAUGUCCCAUUGAGUGGGAGCUCCGCCAUAGCAUACAUAUCAUACUGUAUGUGCUUGUCGACCAGUUAGUAGAGUGACAUAAGCUCUUCCCUCCAUGUCACUGUGUGAGCACUAACCCUUUUGUGCCCUCGACUUAGAACUACGUUAUGAAGUGGAGGUCAAAAGUAACUAACUUAGCGUGUAUCUCAGGGUCAUGAGAAAAUACGAUCUCGCGGAGCACGUCUAGUAAAGUGCUUGGACCAAUAUGGAUUAACGUGAGGGGCUGAGGAAGAUGUUUCGAUAACACACCACGUAAGUCUUGUGACUCAUUGCCCGGGCGGUUAUCUCGGUUGUGUUACUUGAGAUAAUCAUGAGUACGAGAAAUAACGGUGGGGUCGAGCCCUGUCAUUACAGGAGAGGGACUUUGUGAUGCUUGAUCCGGUGUGUGUUGAAACGUCUAGGGCAUAGACGAAUUAAGUCAGUGAUGUGCUAUAUUAGUUGGAUGGUGACUUAAUUUAGCACUCCUGCAUGUGGUUCUUUUCGUCAGGUUGCACGCUCUAUUACCCGUAUGAAGAGACGAAUAAGUGAGAGAGAGUUGGCCAAUGUGGCCAAGUGGGAGAUUGUUGCCAUAUGGUGUGUCCACAUUGGCGGGUUAUGAUUUGACCCGAUCCACAUAAGUUAUGGAUCAUGAUUCAUCCUAACAAGUUUAGGAUAAGUAUAAAUUAUAUGUUUCUUAUCAGUUAAGAAACAUAUCUUAUAAUGGAUAUUUAUUAUAUGUUAAUAAAUAUCCCAAUCCUUAUCCUAAUCUAUAGGAGAUUCAGGAUAUUUAGGGGUUCCGUUAUUUUUAUAUAUACGCCCCCGUUUUCUCCCGUAGAAGAGACGAUCGAAUACGAUCUAAUUCGAGAAUCCACAAAAUCUUUCUUCUUCUCUCUUCUCUUCCUCUCUGGGAUUUCCACCUACGUUCCCGGGGUUUUAGGGUGUGGACAUAGGAGAGGACUCUGGUAGCCCUCUCCGAUUGGCAUCCGUGACGUAAGGCGAUCCGUUCCGUGACGUAAGGCGUACGCGUGGAAGAAGACGAGAAACGUGGGAGAUCCAGAAGCAUCGAGACAAGGACGAUCCAAGAAGGCUUGUAGAACGAGCAAUCCGAUCCGAUUCCGGUUCCCGGAUACGUUGGCUAUCCGGUUUGUAAGUUUUCGUUGCCUAUUAUUUCCAACAGUUAAUAUAAUCUGAAGUUAAUAGUACAAAUGAACGGCGUCCCCUCCAAAGUUAAACGCGAAUAAUAGUUCAAGACAGUGUUAAUAAAAGAACAAUAGUUUAUAAAAGAGUGCAAUGAAACUUGUAAGAGUGCAAUACGGUGGUCGAACGGUUCAGCGUGUAAAAACGGGAGGCUUCUCUCGAGCUCUCUAAUAUCUUUUCUGCAUACGGCGUUAAAACACUGAUAAUCUUCUCCCCAGCAUUUUUCCUCCGGUAAAAAUAAUACGCUGUUUUCUUUCGUGUUUCCUCGACAAGGUAGGUAAUUGGAAAGCUCUUUAAAUGUCAAAUAACACUAUUUAUCGUCUCGGCAUAGUUGGAAGUGAGCAUUGAAUAACGCCUUCCAAAGAAGCAAUGGAUAGCCCACCUAUGCCGAGGAAGUUUGACCACAUACUUGAACUGUUCCGGGUUCAAAUCCUUCAUCUUCUCCAUGUGUUCGUUAAACUCCGCGAUAGUGUAUGCACGCGUCGCCACCCAAAAUCUUCUCCACGCAGGUGUAUUUUGUGGUGCGUGCGGGAGAUUGGUAGACAAAUGGUACAUGCAAUAACUAUGAGCUGCAUCAGGAAAAAUAUUGAAUACAGCUUCAAUCCAACCUUUUUGUCGGUCGGAAAUAAUAGUAAGUAUACCGUUUCCUCUGCUCAUGUCGCGAUCACCGACGAUACCAUCCCGCAACUAUUCCAGAAAUCAGUGCCAGGAAUAGCGAUUUUCACCUUCCAAAACUGCCCAUACUAAUGGCAGUAUGCAGUUAUUUCCAUCAAUACAUGACGCCGUCAGCAUAGCACCUCUAAACUUACCAGUUAGGAAAGUAUCUGAAAGAAUUACAAAGCGUGUAAAUUAGUGCGUAAUCGUGCAAAAUAUUGUAUUUCGCAUCAUUAUAAUAUACAAUAGUGCAAUACAGUUAUAUAAUGGUGUGAACGUCGCUUAUUAGUGUAAAAACGUGACAUCCAGUCCAAACAACGGCCUGCAGUGCUUCCGGAAUGCACGAAUCGAUGCACCAAAUGCGCAGAAAAAACGGUGGAAACGAUCCUUGUUCUGGUAAAAUAGCUGAAGACAUGCAUCCGCAUCUCCAUUCCUCAGCUCUCGUAUGUACGACGAAAGUGCAGCGAAAUACUGUCAAUGUAAGCUAAUCCAUGCUUAUGGACUUUAAUUUUAUGUGGUAGAUUCUUUUUGAGGAAAAAAAGUAGGCUUUUUUUAUGCAGGAAAGAAAAAAACUUUUCUCUCGCCAUCUCAGCUAAUAGGUCUUGAGUGGUACCAGACGCACUCUAUAUAUAUAUAUAGACUGCGUCUGGUAUGCUUUUGGAAGCACGGAGCGCUCCGUGCUUUCAAGUUGUUUUCGAUGUUCGGACUUUCGAAUCGACGAUCGGCUCCAUUAGAGUUGAUCUAGAGUAUUUGAAGUACCUAGAAAAUAAAUUUUGUGAUUUUUCGAUAUCAUUUGCCUAGUGAUCGAAGGGGCUCAAAAUCAAUAAUUUUAACGGCCGUGGUGAGGCCCUUGCCAGUUUAACGGUAUAGAAAAUCCAAAUCAAUGAAAUUUUGAUAGAAAAUUCUUUAUACUAUAAAACAAGAUCAAUAACUUUGAUCUAAAAUUUUAAAUGUCAUAUCAUCAUAUUUUGUAAGAUUUUAUUUUCAGCCGUGAUUUUGAGCCACUUCGAUCACUAGGCAAAUGAUAUCGAAAAAUCAUAAAUUUAAUUUUCUAGAUACUUCAAAUACUGUAGAUACUCUAUACGGAACCGAUCGUCGAUUUGAAAGUCCGAACAUCGAAAACAACUUGGAAGCACGGAAGCGCUCUGUGCUUCCAGAAGCGUACCAAUGCGCUAUAUUAAUAUAUAUAUAUAUAUAUAGAGAGAGAGAGAGAGAGAGAGAGAGAGAGAGAGAGAGAGGAGAGAGAGAAGAGAGAGUUUUGCUAGGACUACUAUCAGUAGUAAACGAGCCGUUUUUACUACCUAUUUGUUUCGAUGAUAGAGCUUCAAAUUGACGAUCGGCUCCGUUGAACCAUGAUCUAUACCACUUGAAAUGUUUAGAAAUCAAAUUUCAAUCUUUUCGAAUCAUUUGCCUAAUGAUUAAAGGGUUCAAAAUUUGUAUUUUAAUGGUCAAUUAGAGGCGUUUUCUCGUUUAACGCGUAAAGAUAUCCAAAUCAAUUGAAUUUUUGUUAGAAAUUUUUUAAACUAUUUAAAACAAGAUCUAUACUCUUGAUCUUGAUUAUAAGACUCCUAUUCAUCAUUUUUUAAAGAAUUUCAUUUUCAGCCAUUCAUUUUUUCUGUUCACUUGAUGGAUAAAAGAACAAUAUCGAAAGUGCGUGAAAUUUGAUUUCUAGGUAGUUUAAAAUGGUUAGAUAUAUUUCACGGAGGCGAUCGUUAAUUUGGAAGCUCUAUUAUUGAAGAACAAAUAGGUAGUAAAACGGGCUCGUUUACUACUGAUAGUAUUAUAGCUCAACUUAUAUAUAUAUAUAUAUAUAUAGAGAGAGAGAGAGAGAGAGAGAGAGAAGAGAGAGAGAGAGAGAGAGUGAGGCUACUAUGCUAUGAAGACGGAGCCUUCCGUGCUUCACACCUCGUUUUCGAUGUUGCGAUUUUCAAAUCGUCGAUCGGCUCCGUUAAUACUUGAUCUAGAUAUUUGAAGUAGGCUAAAAAAAAUUUUAUGAUUUUAACGGAUAUCAUUUGCCUAGUGAACGAAUGGGCUCAAAAUCAACGGCUGAAAAUAAAAAUCUUACAAAAUGUAAUAAUAUGACAUUAAAAUUUUAAAUCAAAGAUAUUGAUCUUGUUUUAUAUAGUAUAAAGAAUUUUCUAUCAAAAUUUCACUUGAUUUGGAUAUUUCUACACCGUUAAACUUGCAAACGGCUCACUACGGCCAUUGAAAUUUGUUGAUUUUGAGCUCAUUCGAUCACUAGGCAAAUGAUAUCGAAAAAUAAUAAAAUUUAUUUUCUAGGUGCUCCAAAUACUCUAGAUCAAGUUUAACGGAGCCGAUCGACGAUUCGAAAGUCGCAACAUCGAAAAUGAAGUGGAAGCACGGAAGGCUCCGUGCUUCCGAUAGCAUAGUAGCCUCACUCUAUAUAUAUA